GUGUUUGAUUGCGUUCUGGGAGGUGCACCUAUGCGAUGGCAAGAGUGUCCAUCCAAACAGAAGUUAAAAGAAAUAAAGCUACAGUCCAUUAAAUCUUAGUGUUUGUGUUUCAUGAGUAUGUUUAUUCUCGAACAUAACUGUGGUCCGUGCAACCCGGUAGGAAGAUUAGUGCCUAUGGAUAAAGUGCUGGUUAAAAAGCUUAAAGGUGAAGUGUUAAAUUGAUAAAAAAGUGUGAUAUGUUACUUCGAAUUCGACAUAAAAAUUAGUGUGUGUUUGGAUUUACAAAUUUCGGGUUCAUUUGGAUUACCUCAAACGGAGAAAAAAAAAUGAAUUUAAGAAAAUGGAAAUGUAAGAAUGUUUGAAAUUGUUUGAAAACUCGCAGACAGCAUCUUGGAGAGCCAUCCAUAUGUUACCUCAUUAUGAGAUUCUGCAGAAACACCAGCUAAAGCAUAUAUAUACAUUUCAAGAAGAGCAUUUUUGUUAACAUAGUGUAUUAUCUGAAAUCACUUUACAUGGUGCUUUUGAAUAUAUUGCCUGUGCAUUUUUGCAGUUGAUAUAUAUAAAUAUAUAUACAUAUAUAUUUUGUUCUUAUUAAGCUCCCAGAAUGUGUAACAUAAAAAUCACAUUUAUUACAUAUAUUUUUUUUAUUUUGUAUGGGAAAACUGUAUGCCUUAUUGAUGUUGUUAAUAUUCAUUAUUUAAACUAUUCAAAAAUUACUGUUGCCUUGAGAAAUAUAAACUUCAAAGCAACUUUGAAAUGCAGUUUGCUAUAAUUGUAUUAUAAAAUGUGAGAUUUUAUUGAAUGUCGCUUAAUUUUGAUACAGCUAAUAUUUGAGAACAAAAUACUCGAGGUUUACUCAACCUCAUAAAAUCUCUAAGGGUUGCUUUAUAUUUUAUUAACGUUUGUUAUUUUUUAUUGCUCAUUCAGAUACAUCGAAUAUGUUUCUGUGUAACCUUUUGCACCAGAAUUGGCAUACAUGUCAGGUAGAAUAACCCAAAUAAUUUGUUAAAGAUUGUUUAAAAAGUCUGAAGAAAAUAUUUAACAAGUAUUUUUCAAAACAUUUGAAAAGUUUAUAAAUUAGGUGAAUGCAUUAUUAUUUAUUAUAUUAGUUAAUAUUAUUAUUACAUAUGAAAUUACAUAUUUUAAAGUUAACUCCAAACUUAUAAGAGUACAAUAAUCAAACUGAAAAUUUUGCAUAAGAAUGACAGAUUAUGCAAAACGGUGAACAGACAUUAAAAAUAUGUGUAAGACUAUAAACAAAAACAUUUCUUAUCUGAAUUAGAUGAGAUGUUAAAAUUACUCGAUCAAAUUCAAGAAAUAGUUUUUUUUUAUUAUUUUUUUAAUUUUAGUAAAUUAUGUAAUGAAAAUUUGUGAGACUUCAUGAUUCAGUUAAUUUCCAUAUACCAUUCAGUUCUCACUGUUUCUUUUCUGUAUUUUGCUUUUUUUAUUGUUCCACACCAUUAUCACAAUAAUAACUGCAGUUAUUUAAUUCAAAUAUGUUAAAGCUUUAAAUUUUUGUAGUAAUAUUUCUUGAAAAAUCUAUUCAGUACCAAAGAUGAUAAUAAUAUAAUAAUGUUCGAUAAUUUUAACAUUUACUGAUCAGAUUGCAAAUGAAGUAGAAUUCAUAUAAUCUGUAUAUAUCUGUAAUCCACGUUCAACAACCCCCCUUUUCUGAUAACUUAGCAUGGCAAAUUAAAUGGCAAUACUUUCGUAUAUGUAGAAGAAAAUGAAAUUUUUAAAAAUUACGUGUAUAAUGUUUCAACUGAAGAAGCAAAUUUAUUGUUGACAUUUCCUUUCCCCUGUGCAUGCAUCAGCAUCUUUUUAUGACAAAACACUUGUCAUAAAUUUACAAAUUUUUCAUUUUAGAUAAAUCUCUUAAAAUUAUUUUUCUGUUUAUGUGGUAAAUAUGGAUAAAUCUGUGAUAAAUAUAGGUGUCUGUUCGUGAUUUUUCAGAUGUAAAUUUCCAGUUUAAACUUCCAUAGACAAAAAAAAAAAAAAAAAAAAAAAUACUUCCAGUACCAUAUUUCCUUCCCACACCAGUUUGCAACCUUGUUUAAGUCAAUGGUGAAUAGGGAUAGGUUAUUAAAAAUUAGCGCUUGUAGAGACUUUCUUCAAUAUAAAAAAUGAAAAACAACACAAAGAAAAUCAUGCUUAAGAACUUAAAUUAAUUCAGAAUUCCAAUUUUAGCACUUUUCAUUAAUUGUUAGUAGUG
This 2212-nucleotide long non-coding RNA is filed under the name Stegodyphus dumicola. RNAcentral describes it as "uncharacterized LOC118194658". Lineage: Eukaryota; Metazoa; Arthropoda; Arachnida; Araneae; Eresidae. The record is from RNAcentral.